This 559-nucleotide ribosomal RNA is filed under the name Escherichia coli. Its description in RNAcentral is "partial 23S ribosomal RNA". It matches the Rfam family "Bacterial large subunit ribosomal RNA", at positions 344 to 908 of the family's 2925-position model. Lineage: Bacteria; Pseudomonadati; Pseudomonadota; Gammaproteobacteria; Enterobacterales; Enterobacteriaceae. The record is from RNAcentral.
GGAAAGGCGCGCGAUACAGGGUGACAGCCCCGUACACAAAAAUGCACAUGCUGUGAGCUCGAUGAGUAGGGCGGGACACGUGGUAUCCUGUCUGAAUAUGGGGGGACCAUCCUCCAAGGCUAAAUACUCCUGACUGACCGAUAGUGAACCAGUACCGUGAGGGAAAGGCGAAAAGAACCCCGGCGAGGGGAGUGAAAAAGAACCUGAAACCGUGUACGUACAAGCAGUGGGAGCACGCUUAGGCGUGUGACUGCGUACCUUUUGUAUAAUGGGUCAGCGACUUAUAUUCUGUAGCAAGGUUAACCGAAUAGGGGAGCCGAAGGGAAACCGAGUCUUAACUGGGCGUUAAGUUGCAGGGUAUAGACCCGAAACCCGGUGAUCUAGCCAUGGGCAGGUUGAAGGUUGGGUAACACUAACUGGAGGACCGAACCGACUAAUGUUGAAAAAUUAGCGGAUGACUUGUGGCUGGGGGUGAAAGGCCAAUCAAACCGGGAGAUAGCUGGUUCUCCCCGAAAGCUAUUUAGGUAGCGCCUCGUGAAUUCAUCUCCGGGGGUAGAGC